UGAGUUCCGUUUCUGGCUUUCUUUGCUGCGUGUUUGUAGCUGGGUUUGUUUGAUUUUAGUGUUAAUGGCUGUAGUUUCGAGUUUCGUUUCCUAGUUGUUGGCUACUGGUUUUGUCGAGUCCUGUACUAGGUUCAGUAGCUGAGUUUUAAUUCGUUAGUUUAGUUCGAGUCGCGAGUUCAUGCUUUCUGUUUUUUCUGUUUUUGAAUCGCUGCGUUUCUGUAGUUUUGGUCGAGUUCCGAGUUUUAAAUUUGCGUUGUUGCUGUGCUGAGUUCCCAGUUUAGUGUAGGCUUUGUUUUGUUUGAUUUGGAAUUUUGAGUCUUCUCUGCUUGGGUUCUGAUUAGCUGAGUUGUAGUUGUGUUUGUUCGAUUAUUCCGAGUCUCUGUUGCUUGUUUUCUUCCGAGUUGCUUUUGUUUUAUUAAAUCUGUUUGCGAUGAGUCUGAUUUGCAGCACUAAGUCGAGUAGGCGCGUUGGUAGUUUGUGGUUUUCUGAGUUAGUUUUGGAUUAAGUGAGGCUGCCUUGUUGAUUUGUUUUUCUUUAUUUUACAUAUUUGUCUCCGCUAAGUCUAAAAGUUGAGUCAUUUAGCGUGUGUGUUCUUUCGAGUGUUGGCGAUUUCCCUUGCACAUCCAGCCAAUGCUACUGUAUUUUAGUUAUGUUGAUAGUUAAAAUUGUUGAAUUGAUUUUGUUUGGCUUGUUGACUAAAUAAAUGAUUCUUGGCAAAUUUUUCUUUGAUUUAGUUUAAGACUUUUUCUGGACAUUCGGUUUAAUUUAGUAAGAUUAGAUAAGUGAUAAUUAAUUAGUUUAAGCAAUUUUCUUUUUAGAGACAUAUUUAAAUUUAGGUUUAAGAAAAACUUCUCUCUAUAAAAUAUUGUUCUAAUUCGCCUAGGUUAAAGAUUUAAGGAUUGCGAAAAAUAAUUUUAAUCUCUGUGGACGAAUCUUAAAUAUUAAAACGGUGAUCGUGCGCUUGCGAUUUAAAAGUAAUAUUUCUAGCACAUCAAGUUUUUGGCGCCGCUGCCGGGGAUUAAAAUUAAUUUUUCGC
Molecule: long non-coding RNA, 1036 nt
Filed under: Daucus carota (carrot)
Lineage: Eukaryota; Viridiplantae; Streptophyta; Magnoliopsida; Apiales; Apiaceae
Description: long non-coding RNA (DCAR_LNC007561)
Source: RNAcentral